CCUACGGGAGGCAGCAGUGAGGAAUAUUGGUCAAUGGACGAGAGUCUGAACCAGCCAAGUAGCGUGAAGGAUGACUGCCCUAUGGGUUGUAAACUUCUUUUAUAAAGGAAUAAAACGAGGCACGUGUGCCUUUUUGCAUGUACUUUAUGAAUAAGGAUCGGCUAACUCCGUGCCAGCAGCCGCGGUAAUACGGAGGAUCCGAGCGUUAUCCGGAGUUAUUGGGUUUAAAGGGAGCGUAGAUGGGGUGUUAAGUCAGUUGUGAAAGUUUGCGGCUCAACCGUAAAAUUGCAAUUGAUACUGGCAGUCGUGAGUACAGUUGAGGUAGGCGGAAUUCGUGGUGUAGCGGUGAAAUGCUUAGAUAUCACGAAGAACCCCGAUUGCGAAGGCAGCUUACUAAACUGUGACUGACAUUGAUGCUCGAAAGUGUGGGUAUCAAACAGGAUUAGAUACCCCAGUAGUC
RNAcentral lists this ribosomal RNA (460 nucleotides) under uncultured bacterium. RNAcentral's name for it is "partial 16S ribosomal RNA". It matches the Rfam family "Bacterial small subunit ribosomal RNA", at positions 338 to 795 of the family's 1533-position model. The record is from RNAcentral.